Molecule: small nuclear RNA, 325 nt
Filed under: Octodon degus (degu)
Lineage: Eukaryota; Metazoa; Chordata; Mammalia; Rodentia; Octodontidae
Description: 7SK RNA (ENSODEG00000023962.1)
Rfam family: 7SK RNA
About the family: 7SK was discovered as an abundant small nuclear RNA in the mid-70s but a possible function has only recently been suggested. Two independent studies have found that 7SK RNA binds the CDK9/cyclin T complex (known as elongation factor P-TEFb).
Source: Rfam by way of RNAcentral
GGAUGUGAGGGUGAUCGGAGUGGGACAUCUGCCAUGCCAUUGAUCUCCAGGGUUGAUUCCGCUGAACUGGCUGGCUAGGUGGGUGUCUCCUUCCUUCCUCAGUACUCCAUGUGCAUCCCUCCCCAAGCUGUGUGCUCGGUCGAAGAUGAUGCCCACCCCCAGGAAAGGAGGACCAUUGCGUGGUCAAGGGUAUAAGAGUAGCGGCACUCCCCUGCUAGAAAUUCCAAAUGAGCUCUCAAAAAUUACCUCUUCUCAUGAGACCUACUAAUUCUGUAUUUUUCAUAUAUCUUCGAGUGCCAAAGUCAAAUCGUAGUCUUAAUUUCUC